Molecule: ribosomal RNA, 500 nt
Filed under: uncultured bacterium
Lineage: Bacteria
Description: partial 16S ribosomal RNA
Rfam family: Bacterial small subunit ribosomal RNA
Source: RNAcentral
AUUGAACGCUGGCGGCAUGCCUUACACAUGCAAGUCGAACGGCAGCACGGGUGCUUGCACCUGGUGGCGAGUGGCGAACGGGUGAGUAAUACAUCGGAACGUACCUUAUCGUGGGGAUAACGCAGCGAAAGCUGUGCUAAUACCGCAUACGCCCUGAGGGGGAAAGCGGGGGAUCGAAAGACCUCGCGCGAUUAGAGCGGCCGAUGCCUGAUUAGCUUGUUGGUGGGGUAAAAGCCCACCAAGGCGACGAUCAGUAGCUGGUCUGAGAGGACUGACAGCCACAGGGGGACUGAGACACGGCCCAGACUCCUACGGGAGGCAGCAGUGGUGAAUUUUGGACAAUGGGGGCAACCCUGAUCCAGCAAUGCCGCGUGAGUGAAGAAGGCCUUCGGGUUGUAAAGCUCUUUUGUCAGGGAAGAAACACCGGCUCUAACACAGUCCGGGAAGGACGGUACCUGAAGAAUAAGCACCGGCUAACUACGUGCCAGCCGCCGCCGUAA